CAAAAGCUGGAGAAGAUAGGUUUGUUGUCUGUAAACUGAGAGAAAAGGGAACACUAUCGUCUGCUGCCAUCGCUGCAAGAGACAUCACUCAGCUGAUCAAGCAAGCUGAAGCAAUACAGCUGGCCCCUUGCAGAGGAGACGCUGAGGGAUGCAAAGCUGGCUUGGGCGAACGGAGAUCUCAGGGUCACGUACAGCCCACAGGGGAUUCACUCUGUGUCAGUGUCUCCUGCAGCAGCACAGGCUAUCGAUGCACGUCACACGUCUGCCCUUCAUCGCCAGCAACCCCUGGGAAAGACUUUGAGACAAGGUAAUUUUGUAGUGUGACUACAUCCUGAGAAAGAAGAGACAGAAAGGGAAAGGCAGACAGCAGACAGCCAGGCGGUCUCUAGCAUGCUGAGAUGAGAUGGAGGAGCAGAGGUUCCAGACAUAUUCAGUGAGUUCCGUGAAGAAUUCAGCCAGGCUAAAGGACAGUGUAUUAAUGCUCUGAAUGGGGGAGACCUGCAGGUGAUCUCAGCUUCUAACAGAAUAAGAAGGUUACAAAUCCAAACUGCCCAGCUGACUCAAGCUAGGAGCCUCCAAUUUAUCCACGGGCUUCUUCUGGCACAGAACCCACACGUCGUGCAAAGGACAGCUCCUCCAGAGAACAUACAUUUUGUUUACGAGGCAAGCCAUUUACGAAUGCCAAACCCUGCAAAUUCUAGCUGGAAGGAUACCAGCAAAUAUCUCCACUGCAGAGUUUACCCACUGCCCAUCAGCUCUGCCCAUGCUGCACACACGCCCUCCGCUCAUGCUCUCAUAGCCAUGCCCACGCUGUGUGCUGGGACUUGGCAGUGCGUAC
This 838-nucleotide long non-coding RNA is filed under the name Gallus gallus (chicken). Its description in RNAcentral is "lncRNA (ENSGALG00010014490.1)". Lineage: Eukaryota; Metazoa; Chordata; Aves; Galliformes; Phasianidae. The record is from RNAcentral.